Paramuricea clavata is the source of this 265-nucleotide non-coding RNA. The record is from the annotation of a GenBank genome assembly. NCBI's taxonomy places the organism in Eukaryota, Metazoa, Cnidaria, Anthozoa, Malacalcyonacea, Plexauridae.
CUGCCAUGAAUGGUCAUAUGCAUGUAUAACUCUAUAAAGAAUCGUCAAACAUUUUUAAUUCACAUUAAAAUACGGCAAAGAAACGAUAGUAUUUAUUAUCUAGCCUCCUCCGCAAGCAUUGCCUUUAGAUUAUAUAUUAUUUUCCGAUGGCCACCCCUGAUUAGUGAGGAUUUUUGGCCGCAGUGGUCAGUAGCUAAGUUGUUAUAAGCUCUGAAAUCAUACGUUUGAAUGAUUCAGUAUUCUCUGGAAGAGCGUUCCAUUGCCA